GAGGGUAUAGCUCAAGCGGUAGAGUGCAUGCCUAGCAUGCACAAGGUCCUGGGUUCAAUCCCCAGUACCUCCU
RNAcentral lists this transfer RNA (73 nucleotides) under Camelus bactrianus (Bactrian camel). It matches the Rfam family "tRNA". From Rfam's summary of the family: Transfer RNA (tRNA) molecules are approximately 80 nucleotides in length. Lineage: Eukaryota; Metazoa; Chordata; Mammalia; Artiodactyla; Camelidae. RNAcentral also lists the same sequence under 2 other names. The record is from Rfam by way of RNAcentral.